Molecule: ribosomal RNA, 253 nt
Filed under: uncultured bacterium
Lineage: Bacteria
Description: partial 16S ribosomal RNA
Rfam family: Bacterial small subunit ribosomal RNA
Source: RNAcentral
UACGAAGGGGGCUAGCGUUGCUCGGAAUCACUGGGCGUAAAGGGUGCGUAGGCGGGUUUUUAAGUCAGAGGUGAAAUCCUGGAGCUCAACUCCAGAACUGCCUUUGAUACUGGAAAUCCUGAGUAUGGGAGAGGUGAGUGGAGCUGCGAGUGUAGAGGUGAAAUUCGUAGAUAUUCGCAAGAACACCAGUGGCGAAGGCGGCUCACUGGCCCAUAACUGACGCUGAGGCACGAAAGCGUGGGGAGCAAACAGG